GAUGAACGCUGACAGAAUGCUUAACACAUGCAAGUCUUUGGCGAAUCUGUGCUUGCACAGGCUAGCCAAGGCGGACGGGUGAGUAACGCGUAAAGAACUUGCCCUGCAGACAGGGAUAACAGACGGAAACGGCUGAUAACACCUGAUACAGUUGCCGGCACGCAUGUGCCUGGCAAUGAAAAGAGAUGCUGCAGGAGAGCUUUGCGUCCUAUUAGCUUGUUGGUGAGGUGACGGCUCACCAAGGCGAUGAUAGGUAGCCGGCCUGAGAGGGUGAACGGCCACAAGGGGACUGAGAUACGGCCCUUACUCCUACGGGAGGCAGCAGUGGGGAAUAUUGGACAAUGGGGGCAACCCUGAUCCAGCAAUUCUGUGUGCACGAAGAAGGUUUUCGGAUUGUAAAGUGCUUUCAGCAGGGAAGAAGAAAGUGACGGUACCUGCAGAAGAAGCGACGACUAAAUACGUG
Molecule: ribosomal RNA, 463 nt
Filed under: uncultured bacterium
Lineage: Bacteria
Description: partial 16S ribosomal RNA
Rfam family: Bacterial small subunit ribosomal RNA
Source: RNAcentral